GCCAUUACAGUAACUUAGUCAACUAACUUUUCUCUGAAUCAACUAAAUACUUCACUUAGUCGAUUUAAAAUUCUUCUUAGUCGACUAAGUCUCAGACAACUGAAAAUAAACUCUCUAUCUUUUGCUGCUUCACUAUGACUUGGUCAACUAACUUUUCACUGAAUCGACUAACUCUCCUGUCUUGGUCAGCUCAAUUCUGAUUUGGUUGGCUAAGUGGAUAAUGCUUAAAAAUCAAUCUUUCUAUCUUGCUGUUGUCCUCUGAGACUGAGUCGACUAAUUUUCUGACUUAGUCGACUAAGAUCCUAUCUUGACCGACUAAGUUGAAUCUGGAUCGACUAAGUCUCCUACAAUCAAAAACUUGACUUUCUAUCGCUGAUACUGAGUUAGCUCAAACAUCCUCAUAGUUGACUCAAAUUACGUGCCCAACGUGCCCUGAAGUUUUUGACAGCCUUUCUUCUAUAAUUUUAUUUCUAAGCUAGACUUAUCUCAUUUACUUGAUUUUAAUCCUCAUUAACUUUCUUUUUAAGGUGUGUCUAAUCUAGAAUUUUUUUAUAAAACUCUUGAGUGGUGGUGCUUUAUUUAAUCGAUGAAAAUUACUUGGAAUAAGGUAAGCACUUGAAAUUUAAACUACACAUCCUCAAAAAUAAUAUUAGUAAUACAACCAAUUAUACUCAAAUACUUUUGUUAUCAUCAAAAUUAAUCCAAGGGUCAACAAGUAAUCUUUGGAGCG
Molecule: long non-coding RNA, 730 nt
Filed under: Elaeis guineensis (African oil palm)
Lineage: Eukaryota; Viridiplantae; Streptophyta; Magnoliopsida; Arecales; Arecaceae
Description: long non-coding RNA (EGUI_LNC046089)
Source: RNAcentral